UGGGGAAUCUUGCACAAUGGGCGAAAGCCUGAUGCAGCGACGCCGCGUGCGGGAUGAAGGCCUUCGGGUUGUAAACCGCUUUCAGCAGGGACGAGGCGAAAGUGACGGUACCUGCAGAAGAAGCCCCGGCUAACUACGUGCCAGCAGCCGCGGUAAUACGUAGGGGGCAAGCGUUAUCCGGAUUCAUUGGGCGUAAAGCGCUCGUAGGCGGUCUGUUAGGUCGGGAGUUAAAUCCGGGGGCUCAACCCCCGUUCGCUCCCGAUACCGGCAGACUUGAGUUUGGUAGGGGAAGGUGGAAUUCCUAGUGUAGCGGUGGAAUGCGCAGAUAUUAGGAAGAACACCAGUGGCGAAGGCGGCCUUCUGGGCCAUAACUGACGCUGAGGAGCGAAAGCUAGGGGAGCAAACAGGAUUAGAUACCCUGGUAGUCCUAGCCGUAAACGAUGGACACUAGGUGUGGGGGAGCAUUUCUUCCGUGCCGCAGCUAACGCAUUAAGUGUCCCGCCUGGGGAGUACGGCCGCAAGGCUG
Molecule: ribosomal RNA, 526 nt
Filed under: uncultured bacterium
Lineage: Bacteria
Description: bacterial SSU rRNA
Rfam family: Bacterial small subunit ribosomal RNA
Source: RNAcentral